Heterocephalus glaber (naked mole-rat) is the source of this 798-nucleotide long non-coding RNA. The record is from Ensembl. NCBI's taxonomy places the organism in Eukaryota, Metazoa, Chordata, Mammalia, Rodentia, Bathyergidae.
CCGGUCUCCUCUCCACGCUCCUCCCUCAGCAGAGCCCCAGGACACACCGUGAGUGGGGCACAGGGCUGAAAGGACAGAGCAGGAGCAGGAACAGGGAGGAGGCUGCUCACACCCUUCCCACUGCAGGGCAGAUGGCAGCUGGGAUCAGACGAGGGCUUCCCCUGGGAGGGGAGUGUGAGCCCCAGACUUCGGACCAGGCUUUUCACUACCUGAGAAUGAAGUUCUCAGAGCAACAGAAAGGCUAUGGGGUCUGCCAAGAUUUCAUCCAGGACGCAGAAGAAUGGCGGACAAAUGGGGGUUUAUCAGACAGCGCUUGGAGAAAACAGUUUUGUUUGCACUUCGCCCCGUUCAGUCCAGGGCACUCAGUAAGCUGACUGUGUCUGCCAGGCACAGAGCUGGGCGUGAGGAACACAGCAGGCAAGGCUCCUCCACGGGACUGCGCGAAGGCUGCACUCCUGAGACGGUGGCUCGCUUGGGGCUGAAAUCUCAGAGCUCCGCUCGUCCUGAUCUCAAACUCUCCACCCGCCUGCCUCCGAGCUGACUCAUCUUCCGAGACCUGUGUGGUUAGAGUCCCGCAGAGAACCCCUUCCACAGCUGCCCUUCCCAGUGCUUAUUUCACAGCAGGCCACCGUGUCCAAGUGUGCUCCUCCACUCGGCAAAGACUGGGAGCACCUACGAUGUGGCAGACCCUGUGCGAAGCAAAGCCUGCCAGAGAGGAACCACAAUCAACCGACAAUCUAGAGGCCCUGCAACCACAUCUCAUCCUGAUGCAGCUGUUGCAGCUUCUAAAAACAGAAG